This 109-nucleotide ribosomal RNA is filed under the name Amphilophus citrinellus (Midas cichlid). The record is from RNAcentral. Lineage: Eukaryota; Metazoa; Chordata; Actinopteri; Cichliformes; Cichlidae.
GUCUACUGCCGUACCACCCUGAACACGCCCAAAUUCAUCUGAAAAGCAGGGUCUGGCCUGGUUAGUACUUGGAUGGGAGGCCACCUGGAAAUACCAGGUGCUGUAACCU